Molecule: transfer RNA, 71 nt
Filed under: Fusarium culmorum CS7071
Lineage: Eukaryota; Fungi; Ascomycota; Sordariomycetes; Hypocreales; Nectriaceae
Source: RNAcentral
GGCGCGUCAACAAGCAUCAAACUUCGCAUUUACCUUAUUUUAAAAGGUAAUGCAUCGCAUGCCACUGUCGC